UACGAGUGCCCCAAGCGUUAUCCGGAAUUAUUGGGCGUAAAGAGCUCGUAGGCGGUCUGUUGCGUCGGCUGUGAAAACCCGAGGCCCAACCUCGGGCCUGCAGCCGAUACGGGCAGACUAGAGUUCGGCAGGGGAGACUGGAAUUCCUGGUGUAGCGGUGAAAUGCGCAGAUAUCAGGAGGAACACCGAUGGCGAAGGCAGGUCUCUGGGCAUUAACUGACGCUGAGGAGCGAAAGCAUGGGGAGCGAACAGG
Molecule: ribosomal RNA, 253 nt
Filed under: uncultured bacterium
Lineage: Bacteria
Description: partial 16S ribosomal RNA
Rfam family: Bacterial small subunit ribosomal RNA
Source: RNAcentral